RNAcentral lists this ribosomal RNA (241 nucleotides) under uncultured bacterium. Its description in RNAcentral is "partial 16S ribosomal RNA". It matches the Rfam family "Bacterial small subunit ribosomal RNA", at positions 791 to 1035 of the family's 1533-position model. The record is from RNAcentral.
UAGUCCACGCCGUAAACUAUGGGUGCUAGCCGUCGGUCGGCAUGCCGGUCGGUGGCGCAGCCAACGCAUUAAGCACCCCGCCUGGGGAGUACGGUCGCAAGAUUAAAACUCAAAGGAAUUGACGGGGGCCCGCACAAGCGGUGGAGCAUGUGGUUUAAUUCGAGGCAACGCGAAGAACCUUACCAGCCCUUGACUUCCCGAUCGGGGCUCCAGAGACGGAGCUCUUCAAUUGGUCGGUGAC